This 71-nucleotide transfer RNA is filed under the name Stegodyphus mimosarum. It matches the Rfam family "tRNA". Rfam says of the family: Transfer RNA (tRNA) molecules are approximately 80 nucleotides in length. Their secondary structure includes four short double-helical elements and three loops (D, anti-codon, and T loops). Lineage: Eukaryota; Metazoa; Arthropoda; Arachnida; Araneae; Eresidae. The record is from Rfam by way of RNAcentral.
GCCUUCGUGGUGUGACGGUAGCACACUCGGCUCGUAUUCGAGAGGUUCAGGUUCGAGUACUGGCGAGGGCA